RNAcentral lists this ribosomal RNA (468 nucleotides) under uncultured bacterium. RNAcentral describes it as "partial 16S ribosomal RNA". It matches the Rfam family "Bacterial small subunit ribosomal RNA", at positions 28 to 507 of the family's 1533-position model. The record is from RNAcentral.
GACGAACGCUGGCGGCGUGCUUAACACGUGCAAGUCGAACGGAAAGGCCCUGCUUUUGUGGGGUGCUCGAGUGGCGAACGGGUGAGUAACACGUGAGUAACCUGCCCUUGACUUUGGGAUAACUUCAGGAAACUGGGGCUAAUACCGGAUAGGAGCUCCUGCUGCAUGGUGGGGGUUGGAAAGUUUCGGCGGUUGGGGAUGGACUCGCGGCUUAUCAGCUUGUUGGUGGGGUAGUGGCUUACCAAGGCUUUGACGGGUAGCCGGCCUGAGAGGGUGACCGGCCACAUUGGGACUGCGGUACGGCCCAGACGCCUACGGGAGGCAGUAGUGGGGAAUAUUGCACAAUGGGCGGAAGCCUGAUGCAGCAACGCCGCGUGCGGGAUGACGGGCUUCGGGUUGUAAACCGAUUUCGCAUGUGACGAAGCGUGAGUGACGGUAAUGGGUAAAGAAGCCCCGGCUAACUACGUG